RNAcentral lists this ribosomal RNA (59 nucleotides) under uncultured bacterium. RNAcentral's name for it is "partial 16S ribosomal RNA". The record is from RNAcentral.
UGGGCUUGAAACGCAGUGGACAGGUUGUGAAAGCAACCCUCUCUUCGGAGCCGCUGUAC